UUGAGGGGAUGGAUUGCGCCUCAUGUGCCCCCAAGAUCGAAACAGCGUUGCAUCGGAUAGACGGCGUAACGGAUGUGGCGGUGUCGGUACCUCGCGGCACCGUGACUGUGCUGCAUGACGGAAAGGAGAUUGAUGAUNNACAGAUUUCGGAUCUAGGCUAUCAAGUGACUCGGCUGGAGGCGGUCAGUGGCGAUGGUCCU
RNAcentral lists this unclassified non-coding RNA (200 nucleotides) under Hevea brasiliensis (rubber tree). Lineage: Eukaryota; Viridiplantae; Streptophyta; Magnoliopsida; Malpighiales; Euphorbiaceae. The record is from RNAcentral.